This is a non-coding RNA of Podarcis lilfordi (Lilford's wall lizard), 64 nucleotides long. Lineage: Eukaryota; Metazoa; Chordata; Lepidosauria; Squamata; Lacertidae. The record is from the annotation of a GenBank genome assembly.
CAACUCAGUUGGAUAGAGCGUGGUGCUAACACCGCCACGGUUGCAGGUUCGAUCCCCGUUAAGG